Anguilla rostrata (American eel) is the source of this 5642-nucleotide long non-coding RNA. RefSeq lists it as uncharacterized. Lineage: Eukaryota; Metazoa; Chordata; Actinopteri; Anguilliformes; Anguillidae. The transcript is spliced from 4 exons. The record is from RefSeq and is a predicted model, not a curated record.
UUGCAUACCUGUCCUGCCUCACUGUUUCACACACUUUAAGACCCCCAGCGCUGAUCAGUGACUGUCCAGUCCUUUCACAGACACUGACACAGGCAGCGUUAUGAUGAUGUCAAACUUUCUACUGCUGGUGAUGCUGGGACUCCUUGUACAGGGAUCAAUGGCAGAUAUAGUCCUGACUCAGUCUCCAGCAGCUCAGUCUUUUCAGCAGGGAGACACUGUCUCUAUCAGCUGUACAGCCAGUGAGAGUGUGAGCAGCGAUCUCCACUGGUACCUGCAGAAACCUGGUCAGCCUCCUAAACUUCUGAUUUAUAGAGACACAACUCGCCAGACUGGGAUCCCUGAUCGUUUCAGUGGGAGUGGAUCUGGGACUCAGUUCACACUGAAAAUCACUGGAGUCCAGGCUGAAGAUGCAGGAGAUUAUUACUGUCAGCAGAGUGAGAGCUUGCCGUUCACACAGUGAUAGAGAGCCGUACAAAAACCUCCCUCAGUCAGACUGCACAGAGACUGCACUGCUGCAGCUGGGACCUACUGCAGGUGCUGAGGGGGGAGGCACUGGUCUGGAACACUGAGCAAUGGUAGAUUAUUUUUUAAAAAGUAUACUGACAAAUCAAAACAAUUACUAUAUAUUUCAGUAUAUUUCAGAAUACCCACACUUUUAAUAAGGAAUGUAUUGUAAUGUCGAAGACUUUCCAAUGACUUUGCUUUGUAAUCACUCCUUCGCCAAUAGACAAGUGUUGUUCUGAAGCAUUACUCUGACAUAAAAUAUCAUAUUUCUAAACUCUUUGAUAGUUAAUGAGAUUAACACAGGAUGGCACAGAGCCCAGCAGCAGUGAACUGCAGGCAGUCCAGCACAGUGGAGUCGCUUAGUCCAGAGCUCUCCCUGCACAUCUUACACAGGCUGCUGCUACACGCCCUGACCAAUCAGAGAGCUCCACUGCUGCUUCUGAUCUGAUCCUCCAACCCCGUAAUAAAGGAGCACAGACUACAGUCUGACAGCACCGCUGACCAAUCCGGUGAGCCGCUGUGCAGAAGGGAUCAUAUCAUUAUCUGUGAGGGCACCACAGGAGGGAGGGAGGGACUCCUUCAGCUCAGUCGUCCCUUUCUCUCUGAGGAAAAGCGAUUCCUCUGGGUGACUGUGUGCCUGCAGUCUGCCUGUGCCAGCUGCGCAGUGUGAGCUCCCAGAUUCAGUGGCUGCGCUGCUCAGCUGGCUGAGAGCUAAAUGAGAAUUAGCGGCUGCUGACUGCACACGGGGAAGAGUAGGAUUAUCUGAACUCUUCAGGACUGAUGGAGGAAUUACAGUCUAGGACAAGAAUGACACUAAAACCUGGCUUAAAUCAUGGAAUAUGUUUUCCACGGUCAGCUUAGUUUUCACAGUAAGUAAAAAGAAGCAUCUUCAUUGCUAGUUGUCACAAUACAACUGCAUUAAACUGAGAAAGAUGAUAUGAGAGAAAUCAGGAAACAUUCAAAAUAAUUCAGCAUUUCACUUUUCAAUGAUUCUAUAUGGACGUACUGUAACUGAAUAAAUUCCUGUGACUGACUGAUGUCCCUGACUGUCUGAUCUCAUGUUAUGAGCCUGUCGUCAGUGCACACAAUAUGUUAAUUUUUUAAGCAUAUUUUUUACAAUCAUACCUCAUAGUCAGCCAGUCUUUACCAGUUACACAUCAAUAAUCAUACAGUACAAUCAGAAUCAGUAAAAUUGACUUUCAAAUGCUUGACUGGGUAAAAUAAUCAUUGAACAGAGAAUGUGUCCCUGCCCUCUAUAAACCCACUGCUGUUCACACAUCAGAGCUCCUCUAACUGUGUGUGACAGGAUUUGUAUAGAGGAAGGGGCUUUGCAUACCUGUCCUGCCUCACUGCUCCACACACUUUAAGACCCCCAGCACUGAUCAGUGACUGUCCAGUCCUUUCACAGACACUGACACAGGCAGCAUUAUGAUGAUGUCACAUUUUCUACUGCUGGUGAUGCUGGGACUCCUUGUACAGGGAUCAAUGGCAGAUAAAGUUCUGACUCAGUCUCCAGCAGCUCGGUCUGUUCAGCUGGGAGACACUGUCUCUAUCAGCUGUACAGCCAGUGAGAGUGUGCGCACCUAUCUCAGCUGGUACCUGCAGAAACCUGGUCAGGCUCCUAAACUUCUGAUUUAUGGUGCCACAACUCGCCAGACUGGGAUUCCUGAUCGUUUCAGUGGGAGUGGAUCUGGGACUCAGUUCACACUGAAAAUCACUGGAGUCCAGGCUGAAGAUGCAGGAGAUUAUUACUGUCAGCAGUACGAUAGCUUGCCGUUCACACAGUGAUAGAGAGCCGUACAAAAACCUCCCUCAGUCAGACUGCACAGAGACUGCACUGCUGCAGCUGGGUCCUACUGCAGGUGCUGAGGGGGGAGGCACUGAUCUGGAACAUUGAGCCCUGUUAGAUUAUUAUUAAAAUGUUUAUAUUCUCAAGUCAAAACAAUUACCAUAUAUAUUAAUAUAUUUCAGAGAAUCCAAACUUUAAAUUAUGAAUGCAAUGUUGAAUAAUUUCCAAUAACUAUGCUUCAUAAUCUCUCCUUGGCCAAUAGACAUGUGUUGUUCUGAAGCAGUGCUCUGACAUAAAAUAUCACAUUUCUAAAUUAAUUGAUAGUUAAUGAGUUUAACACAGGAUGGGACAGAGCCCAGCAGCAGUGAACAGCAGGCAGUCCAGCACAGUGGAGUCGCUCAGUCCAGAGCUCUCCCAGCACACCUUACACAGGCUGCUGCUACACACCCUGACCAAUCAGAGAGCUCCACUGCUGCUUCUGAUCCCAUCCUCCAACCUCGUAAUAAAGGAGCACAAGCUACAGUCUGACGAGCUCUUCAGGACUGAUGGAGGAAUUACAGUUUAGGACAAAAAUGACACUAAAACCAGGCUAAAAUCAUGGAAUACGUUUUCCACGGUCAGCUUAGUUUUCACAAUAUUUAAAAAGAAGCAUCUUCAUUGCUAGUUGUCACAAUACAACUGCAUUAAAACUGAGAAAGAUGAUAUGAGAGAAAUCAGGAAACAUUCAAAAUAAUGCAGUAUUUCACUUUUAAAUGAUUCUAUAUGGACGUACUGUAACUGAAUAAUUUCCUGUGACUGACUGAUGUCCCUGACUGUCUGAUCUCAUGUUAUGAACCUGUCGUCAGUGCACACAAUAUGUUAAUUUUUAAGCAUAUUAUUUACAAUCAUACCUCAUAGUCAGCCAGUCUUUACCAGUUACACAUCAAUAAUCGUACAGUACAAUCAGCAUCAGUAAAAUUGACUUUCAAAUGCUUGACUAGGUGAAAACAGCAGUGAAUAGAGCACAUGUCCCAGCCCUCUAUAGACCCACUGCUGUUCACACAUCAGAGCUCCUCUAACUGUGUGUGACAGGAUUUGUAUAGAGGAAGGGGCUUUGCAUACCUGUCCUGCCUCACUGCUCCACACACUUUAAGACCCCCAGCACUGAUCAGUGACUGUCCAGUCCUUUCACAGACACUGACACAGGCAGCAUUAUGAUGAUGUCACAUUUUCUACUGCUGGUGAUGCUGGGACUCCUUGUACAGGAAUCAAUGGCAGAUAUAGUUCUGACUCAGGAUCCACCAGCUCGGUCUGUUCAGCAGGGAGACACUGUCUCUAUCAGCUGUUCAGCCAGUGAGAGUGUGGACAGCGAUCUCCAGUGGUACUUGCAGAAACCUGGUCAGGCUCCUAAACUUCUGAUUUAUUGGGACACAAUUCGCCAGACUGGCAUUCCUGAUCGUUUCAGUGGGAGUAAAUCUGGGACUCAGUUCACACUGAAAAUCACUGGAGUCCAGGCUGAAGAUGCAGGAGAUUAUUACUGUCAGCAGAGCGAGAGCUUCCCGCUCACACAGUGAUAGAGAGCCGUACAAAAACCUCCCUCAGUCAGACUGCACAGAGACUGCACUGCUGCAGCUGGGUCCUACUGCAGGUGCUGGGGGGAGGCACUGGUCUGGGACAGCAGUACUGCCAACUGGGCUGUAGGGGGCAACAAUGAGCCACAGCUCUGAAUGCACACCUCUCUGUGCUGAAGAGGAGCUGCUCUGUGUCACACACACUGAACCCAUAGCAGAGCUGCAGCUGAACCACACACACUUCUGUACCACAACAUCACAGGCAUCACACAGUACAUCAGCUCACAAGCAGAAAUCAUCUCCAUAUUGCUCUGGAGUUCAGACACAUGCAGAGGAUGUGUACAUUCUCCCAGAGGUGGAAUGAGUGGGAUUUCAAUUAAUUGUUUCCAGAAAGAUAUUAUGAGUUUGUAUUCAAUACAUACACUACCAUGUAUGUUAUUAAAGGUGUAUCUGUUCAAAUCGGAUCCAGGUUUAAGAAUAGCUGUGCUGGACUGAAUCAUAGUAUUUUUUUAUAACAUUUAAAAAAUAUUUUUCUUGGUCAUUUUUACGUGUCAGUUACUGCUUCUCUAUCUAAUAUACUUCUCUGCUUGCACCACCAAUGAAUACCUUCUGUGAUGACACUAAUGAAUCAGAGGUUAAAGAACGGACACAACCCACCAUUCUCAUCAGAAUUUUACAAGACAUAAUGCAGUAUGCAGGCACGUUUGAGAAGGAGCUAAUCGGAUUAAAUGUCUCACUUCAGCAAGUUCCUAUUGAAAAAUUAAGAUGACUGAAACAGAACUCAUUGAAGCUAUUGACUAUAUUACAUGCAGAAUAUAAAAUAAUUUGUGCAAAUUCUUUCUAGAAUACAAAAUACAGAUAGAAAAUAUAAUCAAUUUUGGUUAAAAUACAUUAUGUGCUUUAAAUAUUUAUGAUACAAGAACACAUUUUUAUUUCAUCUUUGUGUUUAAAUGUACCCCAUAAUGUCUUGCUUGUUUCUGGAUGGGUGGAAUAUGGCUUUAAGUUCCUGCACACAUCUGAAAUCUCUAAUCUGAGAUUCAUGCUGAAGCAGGUGUGAGGUACAGCCCCCUCCCUUUCUCACCUCAGUAUAGAAAUGAAUGCUCCAACUCCUCAUGUUCAAACAUCUGUUUUCGGUGUGGGGGUAUUUUGGGCUGAGAAACAGCGAGCUGUGGGUGAGGGGAGUGAAACUCAGAUUUGCAUACGAGGGGUAGGAGGGGGAGUGAAACUCAGAUUUGCAUACGCAGGGCGGGGCAGGCUGGUUCUGCUGGUCCCUCAGUGGGACUGACCCAAACUGGGAACAGGGCGCCGCUGUGCCCAGGUGUCUGGGCCGUCCCCAGGGGCACAGUGUGAGUUGAGCGCACUUCCUGCCGCACAGGACUGCUCUGAGCGCGCUCACACAUCACUGCUCCUCUCAGCAGGGCUCCAGAGCUGGGCCUGCCCCUCCCUGACUGAUUCCGCAUCGCUCACUUCACACACAGCCUCUCAGCACUAUGGAGCCCACUAUAAACACCUGCAUUUAUUCAAUAAGAAACAUCCCAAUAAAAUAGAGUAUCACAUUCUGUGUAUAAUUUAAAAUGAAGGACUUUAAGAAUGUAGUGGACCCACAGUCCUUGCUUAAUUACGUUUUUUAUUGAUAUGGUCUUUUUAUAAUUUCAUUUGGUUAUAGUACUUCUUGUAAUUAAUUAUAAUUAUGUUGUCUGUGAAAAGAAAACUCCGGUUACAUUUCUUAGGGUAUUCUUCCUAAAUUUAUAUCAAAUACACUGUUCAGAUUCAGGAAUAAAUAUCUAUUUGUGAUUAAA